AUACCAUGACGCAGAUACUUCCUUAGCGAUUCCUUAAACCUUUCCCAUGCAUCAUACAACAAUUCCCCUUUUGUCUGGGAGAAAUUAUUAAUUUCCCCUCUGAACUU
Small nucleolar RNA from Humulus lupulus (European hop), 107 nucleotides. NCBI's taxonomy places the organism in Eukaryota, Viridiplantae, Streptophyta, Magnoliopsida, Rosales, Cannabaceae. The record is from RefSeq and is a predicted model, not a curated record.